RNAcentral lists this microRNA precursor (189 nucleotides) under Oryza barthii. Its description in RNAcentral is "MIR812 microRNA precursor family". It matches the Rfam family "MIR812 microRNA precursor family". The record is from Rfam by way of RNAcentral. Lineage: Eukaryota; Viridiplantae; Streptophyta; Magnoliopsida; Poales; Poaceae.
UUUAAAUACAAUCAUAAUUUUCUGUGCCCAACUUUAAUUAUCCAUCUUAUUUAAAGUUGUUUAUAAUUAGUAUUUUUAUUGUUAUGAGAUGAUAAAAUAUGAAUAGUACAUGUUUUUUUUAAAAAGAAUAAAUGAGACGAAUGGUUAAAUGGUUAAAGUUGUGCACGGAAAAUCAUAGUUACAUUUAAA